RNAcentral lists this ribosomal RNA (380 nucleotides) under uncultured bacterium. RNAcentral's name for it is "bacterial SSU rRNA". It matches the Rfam family "Bacterial small subunit ribosomal RNA", at positions 30 to 412 of the family's 1533-position model. The record is from RNAcentral.
AUUGAACGCUGGCGGCAUGCCUUACACAUGCAAGUCGAACGGCAGCACGGGGGCAACCCUGGUGGCGAGUGGCGAACGGGUGAGUAAUACAUCGGAACGUAUCCUGUAGCGGGGGAUAACCUCUCGAAAGAGAGGCUAAUACCGCAUACGACCUACGGGUGAAAGAGGGGGAUCGCAAGACCUCUCACUAUAGGAGCGGCCGAUGUCGGAUUAGCUAGUUGGUGGGGUAAAGCCUACCAAGGCUACGAUCCGUAGCUGGUCUGAGAGGACGACCAGCCACACUGGAACUGAGACACGGUCCAGACUCCUACGGGAGGCAGCAGUGGGGAAUUUUGGACAAUGGCGCAAGCCUGAUCCAGCCAUGCCGCGUGGGUGAAGAA